UACGUAGGGGGCAAGCGUUAUCCGGAUUUACUGGGUGUAAAGGGAGCGUAGGUGGUUCGGUAAGUCAGAUGUGAAAGCCCGGGGCUCAACCCCGGGACUGCAUUUGAAACUAUCGGACUAGAGUGCGGGAGAGGUAAGUGGAAUUCCUAGUGUAGCGGUGAAAUGCGUAGAUAUUAGGAGGAACACCAGUGGCGAAGGCGGCUUACUGGACUGUAACCGACACUGAGGCUCGAAAGCGUGGGGAGCAAACAGG
RNAcentral lists this ribosomal RNA (253 nucleotides) under uncultured bacterium. RNAcentral describes it as "partial 16S ribosomal RNA". It matches the Rfam family "Bacterial small subunit ribosomal RNA", at positions 524 to 776 of the family's 1533-position model. The record is from RNAcentral.